Molecule: ribosomal RNA, 492 nt
Filed under: uncultured bacterium
Lineage: Bacteria
Description: partial 16S ribosomal RNA
Rfam family: Bacterial small subunit ribosomal RNA
Source: RNAcentral
AGUGAACGCCGGCGGUAGGCCUAACACAUGCAAGUCGAACGGCAGCACAGUAAGAGCUUGCUCUUACGGGUGGCGAGUGGCGGACGGGUGAGGAAUACAUCGGAAUCUACUUUUUCGUGGGGGAUAACGUAGGGAAACUUACGCUAAUACCGCAUACGACCUACGGGUGAAAGCAGGGGAUCUUCGGACCUUGCGCGAUUGAAUGAGCCGAUGUCGGAUUAGCUAGUUGGCGGGGUAAAGGCCCACCAAGGCGACGAUCCGUAGCUGGUCUGAGAGGAUGAUCAGCCACACUGGAACUGAGACACGGUCCAGACUCCUACGGGAGGCAGCAGUGGGGAAUAUUGGACAAAGGGCGCAAGCCUGAUCCAGCCAUACCGCGUGGGUGAAGAAGGCCUUCGGGUUGUAAAGCCCUUUUGUUGGGAAAGAAAAGCAGCAGGUUAAUACCCCGCUGUUCUGACGGUACCCAAAGAAUAAGCACCGGCUAACUUCGUG